This 440-nucleotide long non-coding RNA is filed under the name Musa acuminata (dwarf banana). RNAcentral describes it as "long non-coding RNA (MACU_LNC000535)". Lineage: Eukaryota; Viridiplantae; Streptophyta; Magnoliopsida; Zingiberales; Musaceae. The record is from RNAcentral.
UACAACUUGUUUAUCUAUUUAUUUUCUAAUAUGGUAUCAGAGCAGUUCCUCCUUGGCAACAGUAGUAUCGCCGUGUGUUAGCCAAGCGGCCACAGUAACACGGUGCCUCAAGAGGAGUCAUUGAAGAAGCACAAUACAUGGAUUCAGAGCCAGUGCUAAUGAGCAUCGUCGCACCGUCUUGGCUCUGCUCAUCCACUCCUUCAUCGCCUAUCUUGCUUUUCUUCGCCGGCCUUGCUCCCUCUCCUAUUUGCUGCCUACAGCAGACACUCUUCGUCGCCGUCACUCAAGGAGGAAAACAUUCUCUCACUGCCUCCUCAAUAGCGGUGAACGGCGAACAACAGUGUCUUCCUCGCUUCCCGGCCAACAGCAGUCGCAACUGCUGCAUCUUCCUCUACCGCAGUAGCUUUCGCUGCCGCUUCCCUCUACACAACAGCGCCUCC